AACCCGACUACAUGAAGCUGGAAUCGCUAGUAAUCGCAAAUCAGAAUGUUGCGGUGAAUACGUUCCCGGGUCUUGUACACACCGCCCGUCACACCAUGGGAGUUGGAAAUGCCCGAAGUCAGUGACCCAACCGAAAGGAGGGAGCUGCCGAAGGCAGGUCCGGUAACUGGGGUGAAGUCGUAACAAGGUACC
This 192-nucleotide ribosomal RNA is filed under the name uncultured bacterium. Its description in RNAcentral is "partial 16S ribosomal RNA". It matches the Rfam family "Bacterial small subunit ribosomal RNA", at positions 1309 to 1500 of the family's 1533-position model. The record is from RNAcentral.